Daphnia pulicaria is the source of this 431-nucleotide long non-coding RNA. RefSeq lists it as uncharacterized. Lineage: Eukaryota; Metazoa; Arthropoda; Branchiopoda; Diplostraca; Daphniidae. The transcript is spliced from 4 exons. The record is from RefSeq and is a predicted model, not a curated record.
AUCUUAAAUCACCCUAUUAGGGUGUGACAAACCGGCGGGAUCGUGAUGCCUCCACAAUCACUCUCUGUUUCCAUAAACGAUCAAGGACUGCUGUGCCAACGAAAGUUGACGUUCCGGGUUGAUGGUUCUCUCGGUUCUCUCACUGGCUGUCAUAAAAAAAAACCUGGAUUCCCGUCAAGGUGGUUUCAGUCAUCAAGUGCCAACGCCCAUUCGUAUCAAAAGUCACCAAGACAUUCAAGCGAAGAAUCAAUAUUUUUUCCAGACAAACGUCAAGUUGAUUUAGCUGGUAUCGUCGUACGAUGACAACUGCUCGUCAACCAGUAUAGAUGAAAAUAAGCUCAGAGUUGUCACAGCCGUGUAUGUCAGCACGCAAACAGUGGUUCACCUUGCUGCUGGUGGGGGUGUUCAUAUCGUCUUCAUCAUAAUAAGGU